RNAcentral lists this ribosomal RNA (441 nucleotides) under uncultured bacterium. RNAcentral's name for it is "partial 16S ribosomal RNA". It matches the Rfam family "Bacterial small subunit ribosomal RNA", at positions 338 to 795 of the family's 1533-position model. The record is from RNAcentral.
CCUACGGGAGGCAGCAGUGGGGAAUAUUGGGCAAUGGGCGAAAGCCUGACCCAGCAACGCCGCGUGAAGGAAGAAGGCUUUCGGGUUGUAAACUUCUUUUGACAGGGAAGAGCAGAAGACGGUACCUGUCGAAUAAGCCACGGCUAACUACGUGCCAGCAGCCGCGGUAAUACGUAGGUGGCAAGCGUUGUCCGGAUUUACUGGGGGUAAAGGGCGUGUAGCCGGGCUGACAAGUCAGAUGUGAAAUCCGGGGGCUCAACCCCCGAACUGCAUUUGAAACUGUUGGUCUUGAGGAUCGGAGAGGCAGGCGGAAUUCCUGGUGUAGCGGUGAAAUGGGUAGAUAUUAGGAGGAACACCAGGGGCGAAGGCGGCCUGCUGGACGACAACUGACGGUGAGGCGCGAAAGCGUGGGGAGCAAACAGGAUUAGAUACCCUGUAGUC